RNAcentral lists this ribosomal RNA (392 nucleotides) under uncultured bacterium. RNAcentral's name for it is "partial 16S ribosomal RNA". It matches the Rfam family "Bacterial small subunit ribosomal RNA", at positions 523 to 918 of the family's 1533-position model. The record is from RNAcentral.
AUACGGAGGAUGCGAGCGUUAUCAGGAUUUAUUGGGUUUAAAGGGAGCGUAGGCGGGAGCUUAAGUCAGCGGUUAAAUGGUGCGGCUCAACCGUGCCCUGCCGUUGAAAAUGGGGUUCUUGAGAGUGCAAGAGGCGGAUGGGAUUCCUGGUGGAGCGGUGAAAUGCUUAGAUAUCAUGAAGAACUCCGAUUGCGAAGGCAGUCCGCUGGGGCACGUCUGACGCUGAUGCUCGAAGGUGCGGGAAUCAAACAGGAUUAGAUACCCUGGUAGUCCGCACGGUAAACGAUGAUUACCCGCUGUCGGCGGCAGACAGUCGGCGGCCAAGCGAAAGCGAUAAGUAAUCCACCUGGGGAGUACGCCGGCAACGGUGAAACUCAAAGGAAUUGACGGGG